This 395-nucleotide unclassified non-coding RNA is filed under the name soil metagenome. RNAcentral's name for it is "partial contains 5.8S ribosomal RNA, internal transcribed spacer 2, and large subunit ribosomal RNA". The stretch from base 1 to 121 matches the Rfam family "5.8S ribosomal RNA", at positions 35 to 154 of the family's 154-position model. The record is from RNAcentral.
GAUGAAGAACGUAGCGAACGUGCGAAACGUAAUGUGAAUUGCAGAAUUCAGUGAAUCAUCGAAUCUUUGAACGCAUCUUGCGCUCCUUGGUAUUCCGAGGAGCAUGCCUGUUUGAGUGUCGUGAACACUCUCAACUUCAACCCUUUUUUCGGAAAGGGAGGAAGGUUGGACUUGGGUGUUUGUUGAAGUGCGAGCUUCGACUCAUCCUAAAUGCAUUAGCGAUCUGCCUCGAUCACACACAAUGUGAUAAUUAAAACUAAAGCAUUGUUUAAUGAUCAAGUCGAGACUGCUUCUAACUGUCGCAAGACAAUAACGUGCAUACAUUUGUGCAUGUCAUUUGACCUCAAAUCAGGUAGGACUACCCGCUGAACUUAAGCAUAUCAAUAAGCGGAGGA